Molecule: ribosomal RNA, 405 nt
Filed under: uncultured bacterium
Lineage: Bacteria
Description: bacterial SSU rRNA
Rfam family: Bacterial small subunit ribosomal RNA
Source: RNAcentral
AACGAACGCUGGCGGCGCGCCUAAUACAUGCAAGUCGAGCGAGAAGACGUAGCAAUACGUUUGUAAAGCGGCGAACGGGUGAGGAAUACAUGGGUAACCUACCCUCGAGUGGGGAAUAACUAGCCGAAAGGUUAGCUAAUACCGCGUACGCUCCUUGGACUUCGGUUCAGGGAGGAAAGCGAUACCGUGGGUAUCGCGCUCUUGGAUGGGCUCAUGUCCUAUCAGCUUGUUGGGAGGUAACGGCUCACCAAGGCUUCGACGGGUAGCUGGUCCGAGAGGACGAUCAGCCACACUGGCACUGCGACACGGGCCAGACUCCUACGGGAGGCAGCAGUAAGGAAUAUUGCGCAAUGGGCGAAAGCCUGACGCAGCGACGCCGCGUGGGGGAGUGAAGGUCUUCGGAUU